GAUGAACGCUGGCGGCGUGCCUAAUACAUGCAAGUCGAGCGAACGGACGAGAAGCUUGCUUCUCUGAUGUUAGCGGCGGACGGGUGAGUAACACGUGGAUAACCUACCUAUAAGACUGGGAUAACUUCGGGAAACCGGAGCUAAUACCGGAUAAUAUUUUGAACCGCAUGGUUCAAAAGUGAAAGACGGUCUUGCUGUCACUUAUAGAUGGAUCCGCGCUGCAUUAGCUAGUUGGCAAGGUAACGGCUUACCAAGGCAACGAUGCAUAGCCGACCUGAGAGGGUGAUCGGCCACACUGGAACUGAGACACGGUCCAGACUCCUACGGGAGGCAGCAGUAGGGAAUCUUCCGCAAUGGGCGAAAGCCUGACGGAGCAACGCCGCGUGAGUGAUGAAGGUCUUCGGAUCGUAAAACUCUGUUAUUAGGGAAGAACAUAUGUGUAAGUAACUGUGCACAUCUUGACGGUACCUAAUCAGAAAGCCACGGCUAACUACGUGCCAGCAGCCGCGGUAAUACGUAGGUGGCAAGCGUUAUCCGGAAUUAUUGGGCGAAAAGCGCGCGUAGGCGGUUUUUUAAGUCUGAUGUGAAAGCCCACGGCUCAACCGUGGAGGGUCAUUGGAAACUGGAAAACUUGAGUGCAGAAGAGGAAAGUGGAAUUCCAUGUGUAGCGGUGAAAUGCGCAGAGAUAUGGAGGAACACCAGUGGCGAAGGCGACUUUCUGGUCUGUAACUGACGCUGAUGUGCGAAAGCGUGGGGAUCAAACAGGAUUAGAUACCCUGGUAGUCCACGCCGUAAACGAUGAGUGCUAAGUGUUAGGGGGUUUCCGCCCCUUAGUGCUGCAGCUAACGCAUUAAGCACUCCGCCUGGGGAGUACGACCGCAAGGUUGAAACUCAAAGGAAUUGACGGGGACCCGCACAAGCGGUGGAGCAUGUGGUUUAAUUCGAAGCAACGCGAAGAACCUUACCAAAUCUUGACAUCCUUUGACAACUCUAGAGAUAGAGCCUUCCCCUUCGGGGGACAAAGUGACAGGUGGUGCAUGGUUGUCGUCAGCUCGUGUCAUGAGAUGUUGGGUUAAGUCCCGCAACGAGCGCAACCCUUAAGCUUAGUUGCCAUCAUUAAGUUGGGCACUCUAAGUUGACUGCCGGUGACAAACCGGAGGAAGGUGGGGAUGACGUCAAAUCAUCAUGCCCCUUAUGAUUUGGGCUACACACGUGCUACAAUGGACAAUACAAAGGGCAGCGAAACCGCGAGGUCAAGCAAAUCCCAUAAAGUUGUUCUCAGUUCGGAUUGUAGUCUGCAACUCGACUACAUGAAGCUGGAAUCGCUAGUAAUCGUAGAUCAGCAUGCUACGGUGAAUACGUUCCCGGGUCU
This 1372-nucleotide ribosomal RNA is filed under the name uncultured bacterium. RNAcentral describes it as "bacterial SSU rRNA". It matches the Rfam family "Bacterial small subunit ribosomal RNA", at positions 28 to 1381 of the family's 1533-position model. The record is from RNAcentral.